Molecule: ribosomal RNA, 440 nt
Filed under: uncultured bacterium
Lineage: Bacteria
Description: partial 16S ribosomal RNA
Rfam family: Bacterial small subunit ribosomal RNA
Source: RNAcentral
CCUACGGGGGGCAGCAGUAGGGAAUAUUGCUCAAUGGGGGAAACCCUGAAGCAGCAACGCCGCGUGGAGGAUGAAGGUUUUCGGAUUGUAAACUCCUUUUGUUAGAGAAGAUAAUGACGGUAUCUAACGAAUAAGCACCGGCUAACUCCGUGCCAGCAGCCGCGGUAAUACGGAGGGUGCAGGCGUUACUCGGAAUCACUGGGCGUAAAGCGCGCGUAGGCGGGAUAGCAAGUCAGAUGUGAAAUCCUAUGGCUUAACCAUAGAACUGCAUUUGAAACUGUUAUUCUAGAGUAUGGGAGAGGUAGGUGGAAUUCUUGGUGUAGGGGUAAAAUCCGUAGAGAUCAAGAGGAAUACUCAUUGCGAAGGCGACCUGCUAGAACAUAACUGACGCUGAUGCGCGAAAGCGUGGGGAGCAAACAGGAUUAGAUACCCCAGUAGUC